Molecule: ribosomal RNA, 460 nt
Filed under: uncultured bacterium
Lineage: Bacteria
Description: partial 16S ribosomal RNA
Rfam family: Bacterial small subunit ribosomal RNA
Source: RNAcentral
CCUACGGGUGGCAGCAGUGAGGAAUCUUCCUCAAUGGACGAGAGUCUGAUCCAGCCACGUCGCGUGAAUGAUGACUGUCCUCUGGUCUUUAAACUUCUUUUAUAAAGGAAUAAAACGAUGCGAGUGUGCCUUUUCGCAUCUACUUUAUGUAUAAGGAUCGGCUAACUUCGCUCCAGCAGCCGCGGUAAUACGGUGGAUCCGAGCGUUAUCCGGAUUUAUUUGGUUUAACGGGAACGUAGAGGGGUUGUUAAGUCAGUUGUGAAAGUUUGCGGCUCAACCGGAACAUUGCAAUUGAUACUGGCAGUCUUGAGUACAGUAGAGGUAGGUGGAAUUCGUGGUGUAGCGGUGAAAUGCGUAGAUAUAACGAAGAACCCCGAUUGCGAAGGCAGCUUACUAAACUGUGACUGACAUUGAUGUUCGAAAGUGUGGGUAUCAAACAGGAUUAGAUACCCUUGUAGUC